This 347-nucleotide unclassified non-coding RNA is filed under the name soil metagenome. Its description in RNAcentral is "partial contains 5.8S ribosomal RNA, internal transcribed spacer 2, and large subunit ribosomal RNA". The stretch from base 1 to 120 matches the Rfam family "5.8S ribosomal RNA", at positions 35 to 154 of the family's 154-position model. The record is from RNAcentral.
GAUGAAGAACGUAGUGAAAUGCGAUAAUUAAUGUGAAUUGCAGAAUUCAGUGAAUCAUCGAGUCUUUGAACGCACAUUGCGCCCCCUGGUAUUCCGGGGGGCAUGCCUGUCCGAGCGUCAUUGCUGCCCUCAAGCACGGCUUGUGUGUUGGGCUUCCGUCCCUGGCAACGGGGACGGGCCCAAAAGGCAGUGGCGGCACCAUGUCUGGUCCUCGAGCGUAUGUGGCUUUGUCACCCGCUCCCGUAGGUCCAGCUGGCAGCUAGCCUCGCAACCAAUCUUUUUAACCAGGUUGACCUCGGAUCAGGUAGGGAUACCCGCUGAACUUAAGCAUAUCAAUAAGCGGAGGA